This 226-nucleotide long non-coding RNA is filed under the name Carica papaya (papaya). RNAcentral describes it as "long non-coding RNA (CPAP_LNC005043)". The record is from RNAcentral. Lineage: Eukaryota; Viridiplantae; Streptophyta; Magnoliopsida; Brassicales; Caricaceae.
CAUAUUCUCUUAUUUGAAAUGGGGUGAAUUUCAGUCACUUGUGACUUGAGGGAAAUUAAACUAAACGUUUUUUUCUUGAAGAUUUAACUUGAGGGAUUUCUGGUGCCACUUUGGGGACUUCCACCUGGAUGGGAAAAUCUUCUCCCACACGGGGGAUUUUCCUUCCGGUCGGGGCAUUGGCUCCCACUGAAAAAGUGUUUCUCUCCAUUGAGGGAUUUUCUCUCAU